This 545-nucleotide ribosomal RNA is filed under the name uncultured bacterium. Its description in RNAcentral is "bacterial SSU rRNA". It matches the Rfam family "Bacterial small subunit ribosomal RNA", at positions 96 to 633 of the family's 1533-position model. The record is from RNAcentral.
UGGCGCACGGGUGCGUAACGCGUAACCAACCUACCCGAAUCUGGGGGAUAGCCCGCCGAAAGGCGGAUUAAUACCGCAUAAAACCACAGGGUGGCAUCACCUAAUGGUUAAAGAUUUAUUGGAUUCGGAUGGGGUUGCGUGCCAUUAGCUAGUUGGGGGGGUAACGGCCCACCAAGGCGACGAUGGCUAGGGGAGCUGAGAGGCUGGCCCCCCACACGGGCACUGAGAUACGGGCCCGACUCCUACGGGAGGCAGCAGUAGGGAAUAUUGGGCAAUGGCCGAGAGGCUGACCCAGCCAUGCCGCGUGCAGGAUGAAGGCUUUCUGAGUCGUAAACUGCUUUUGUACGGAACGAAAAGGUCUGCCCUAAUACGGUGGGCCCAUGACGGUACCGUAAGAAUAAGCACCGGCUAACUACGUGCCAGCAGCCGCGGUAAUACGUAGGGUGCGAGCGUUAAUCGGAAUUACUGGGCGUAAAGCGUGCGCAGGCGGUGAUGUAAGACAGUUGUGAAAUCCCCGGGCUCAACCUGGGAAUUGCAUCUGUGAC